AACGAACGCUGGCGGCAGGCUUAACACAUGCAAGUCGAGCGCCCCGCAAGGGGAGCGGCCGACGGGUGAGUAACGCGUGGGAACGUACCUUUUGGUUCGGAACAACUCCGGGAAACUGGAGCUAAUACCGGAUAAGCCCUAACGGGGAAAGAUUUAUCGCCGAAAGAUCGGCCCGCGUCUGAUUAGCUAGUUGGUGAGGUAACGGCUCACCAAGGCGACGAUCAGUAGCUGGUCUGAGAGGAUGAUCAGCCACACUGGGACUGAGACACGGCCCAGACUCCUACGGGAGGCAGCAGUGGGGAAUAUUGGACAAUGGGCGCAAGCCUGAUCCAGCCAUGCCGCGUGAGUGAUGAAGGCCUUAGGGUUGUAAAGCUCUUUUGUCCGGGAAGAUAAUGACUGUACCGGAAGAAUAAGCCCCGGCUAACUUCGU
This 430-nucleotide ribosomal RNA is filed under the name uncultured bacterium. RNAcentral's name for it is "partial 16S ribosomal RNA". It matches the Rfam family "Bacterial small subunit ribosomal RNA", at positions 29 to 506 of the family's 1533-position model. The record is from RNAcentral.